UCCCUCUCAGGAUCACACCUGGAGAGUUUCCAGGACUCUACAAGACUCGGCUAAGGGAGGGACAGUCAAGCGAGGCAUAUCCAUUCCAUUCCUAGCUUAGUCAAUGGCUAGCAAGUGGAAGGCAAUCUGCUAUAAGU
Molecule: small nucleolar RNA, 137 nt
Organism: Ornithorhynchus anatinus (platypus)
Lineage: Eukaryota; Metazoa; Chordata; Mammalia; Monotremata; Ornithorhynchidae
Source: RefSeq, a predicted model, not a curated record